CUGGGAAGAAAUCGCACAGCUGUUGUUAGAAAACAUAGUGGAAAGUUUGUCAGAUUUCUUUUGUAUUAUGGUUUGCGACAAGCAGCCCUUGUUCGUGUGUAGACAGCAAGCUCAAGUUGCACAGCAUAGGUUGAAUAUUACCAUUGACAUUGACUUAGAUCCCAUUGAGCAGUUCGGUCCAUAAAGUUGUUGGUGUAUUUCUGUGCUCCAUAUCUUAUUAAUUUGCAAGUUCGUAUAUCUGAAUCCACUGCCUGGAAAGAGGAUGGCGACCCAGGCAGGGAGAAGCGGUCACAAGAAAAAAGCGGAGUACUGUACCAAUCUAAAAUGUGCCGGCUUUGCUAUGCCUCAUGCAAUGCAACCGAAAUCUUUCUCGGUUUCAGGGAGGCCAUCGCGAAGUUUCCAAUAAGAACUCGCCACGGGCUCACUGCUGCGUCGCAGCCAGAGGGGGUGGAAAAAACGUGGCAUCAUAGGGGCGCUAAAAGAGGGGGAGAUUAUAAUUUGACCUAAAUUUAGGUGAGAUCGUAGAAUCAACUCCAAAAUUUCAUAUUUGACCUUGCAGUUAAGUUUACAACUCCAAAAAAAUCAGCUUCAAACUCGAUCCACAGUAAGAUAUUCAAAAAGAGAAAUUCAUCUAUGAAUAGUGCCAGCUUUGCAUGAAUAGUACUUGACACUAUUCACAUCCAAUUUUGUCCUUUUUAGUUCUCUAAGGGCAGUUCGAAUUAGGAGCUGAAAUUCUUUGAGGUUGUACUCCCUCCGGUCAAUUUUACUCUGCAUAUAAAAAUUGUCUGAAGUCAAACUUCAUAUUUAUAUGAAAAAAAUAUUAACAGCUACAAUGCUAAAUUUAUACAAUAUGAAAACUAAAGUCAUGACACAUCUAAUAUUGUCAAUUUCAUAUUCGGAAUGUUGGUAUUUUUUUUUCUAUAAACUUGAUCAAAGUUUACGAGGUUUGACUUCUGACAAAUCUUAUAUGCGAACUAAAAAGGACCGGAGGGAGUACAUCAUACACGGAUGUGUCCAAAAAUAUUUUUAGAAUUUUUUAACAUGUUUUGAGUCUUCUAAAAGAUUGAUCUCAUCGAAGGUUCAGGUGCGGCCGCAGGGUUGACCGUUGGUGCUGGAGAGUGGGAGUGGGGUUUGAGGCUUUAGAAGGUUAGUCAGGGUGGCGGUGCCUUUGGCCGUGGGAGGCAGUGGCGGAGCGUAGUGGGGACAAUACCGGGCCUUGGCCACCCCUUGCUAGAGAAAAAUUUACACAGUAUGUUUAUAUUUCUAUUAAUCGCUCUACUAAUCCUCCGGCCUUGUCUGAUCACCCUAGUCUUUUCUAUGUCAUACACUCGUUUUGGCCCCUCCUUACAUUUGGUUCACGCUCCGCCACUGGUGGGAGGCGAUUCGGUCUUGGGUCGGAGGGCAGUGGUGGAAGAAUGUCUUUUAAGUCGGCCUCAAAUGAUCUUGAAUUUGCUAAGUAAGAAGAGAGUUGUCUGGUUAAUUAACAGAAAAAUGGGUGAACACUGUCACAGUAUGCCUGUAAAAGCAAGGCACUUCGAGUGACCUGGCAGCCCACCCAAGAACGUACACACGUCGUCGAGGAGAAAAGCAUCACCAAGGUCGCAGCCCGGUGUCAUCGUCAUCACACCUUCGAGAGGGUGACUCGACUUCAUCAUUGACGAACACAAACUAGCUCGCAUGGCAAUACGAAUGCCGAGACCUGCGCAGGUGGAAGCCAAACAGUCAACCGCACGCGUCGGUGACCAGGCAGCUCCGACUCUGCCAACGAGCAUUGCAGGAGAAAUGCGCUGGACUUGCGCCAGGGCAACGCCAAAACCGACCACCCACCUCAGGUCAUCGUCCCUGCAAUGUCCACCUCAGCAGCUCUGACUUCAUAGAGACAAAGUGAGGCAUGACGACCCAUCAAACACGCCUUAUGAGACUGACUACCAGAGCACAACUGCAACCCUGCCUUUGCCCGAAGCCGCAUUCGUUGCCACAUAUAGGAAACUGACAUCGCAUCACUGGACGGCCACCUGCCGACCACAAUGUCGCGAGCGUUCAACCCAUGGCACAAAUGAGAUCGGAAGCUCUUUAAGGAGACACCCCAAAGAGAGGAAGUGGUGAUGUUGACGUCGUCGUACAACAUAGGCGGGCCUUAGGCUUUCAUCCAAAGAUCAAGAUCCGAGUGUGUAGGAGGAUACGGGGCUCCACGGCGAUGCCUCCAGGAAGGUGAAAAGACACCUGCAAACGUCAACACCGGCAACCAUCAAGACCAGACAAGGUUUCGCUCGGAGCAACCCAACAUCACCAACACCCCCACGCACAGCACCCCCGCUGCCCACCAACCUCUCAUAGAGCCACCGCAUUGGUAGCACUGGAGAGUCACCAAGCAGCACACUUCCCCCGCCGCCCAAACACCGACGAACCAGAUCCAACCAGAUUUGGCAUCCCACCACCGCUACGCCACCAUAGGAGCCACCAGGGCCUCGGCCCGCGCGAGGCACCGCACAGAGCAGGAAGGGGAGGAGGCACACCUGCCCCUAUUCGUCGGAGAAGAGCAAAUGACCGAAGACCAGGAGCCUGCCAGCAAAGUUGCCAUGGCUGCCACCCACGAGAGACACUGCUAGGGAGUUGCCACGCCGGAGACGAGUAGACGAGGCGCACCAGGGACGCGGGGGCCCUACGUAGAUUCGCCGUGCUACGUAGAAGAAGGGGAUCGAGCCUUCCCACCGAGCUUCUGUUAUCAAACGAGAGGAGGACGCCCCCGCCCCCGUGCUACGCAGAAAAAGGUGAUCAAACCUUCCCACUCUGAGCUUCUGUAGCCAAACGAGAGGAAGAUGACCCCUUCGCCGCUUGGGCUUAGCCCGGCGGCCUCCUCCGAUGACGGCGAGGAAGGAAGGGGGCGGGAGGGCGGCCCCGGCUAGGUUUCUACCCGUGUCGCCUUGGACAAGAGGACGCAGGGGCUUUUUGGAAGGGGAAAGUCCAUUUUAAACCCGCGAACUCGUAGAGGUUCGGCGAAAUGAACCAUCAAGUCAAAAUUCCCAUCGAUUGCGCCCUGAACUAUGCAAUCUCGGUCUAAAUCAAACCCUGGCAUCAUUUGAGGCAUAAAAACCCUAAAGUGGCUAGCUCGUGGGGCAAGGACCGGCAAUGUUGACUACGGCGCGCACCUGUCCUCCGUGCUGGGCAGCUCAUUUGUAUUUUUUUGUAUGCUAAAAAUGGUUUUCUAUAAUAUUGCUAAACAAAGGUGCGCGCGCACAUGUCCUCUGCGCUGGGCUAGCCCUUUUGUAUUUUUUUACCUGAUAAAAUUGUCUUUUUCCUGUUACACUGCUAGAAAAAAGGUGCGCGCACAAGGUGAUUCAAACUUGCGACCUCCGCUUUCGAUGCAAACUAUCCUUACCAACCACGUCGCCUCACCUCUUGUGGAUAAUUUAUUCCAAUUUCUUUUUUAUUUUGUUCAUGGAAGCUCAUUAUACAGUUCUUCUUUCUUUUUCCUUUUUAUCUAAUUCAUUUUUUAAAAUUUGUGAACCUUUUUAUAGAACUCGUGGAGUUUUUCGAAUCCAUGAACCUUUUUUAAAUCCAUGAACUUUUUCUAGUUUUACAAUUUUUUUUCCCAAAAUCCAUGCACUUUUCUUUUGAAAAUCCAUGAACUUCUCAAAAACUGUGAACUUUUUCUAAAUUCAUGAACUUUUAAAAAAAUAUGACAUUUUUUCCUUCUGAAAAUCUGGUUCACGACGUUUUUUUGGUGCUAUUUCCUACUAAGAUGACCACGAAUUUAAUAAAAAUGAAAACAAAAAAGAAAAAGAAAAAGAAAAAAGAAAAAAAA
RNAcentral lists this long non-coding RNA (3805 nucleotides) under Triticum aestivum (bread wheat). RNAcentral describes it as "long non-coding RNA (TAES_LNC006140)". Lineage: Eukaryota; Viridiplantae; Streptophyta; Magnoliopsida; Poales; Poaceae. The record is from RNAcentral.